GCCGCCGUAGCUCAGUCGGUAGAGCAACCGCCUUGUAAGUGGUAGGUCAUGGGUUCGAAGCCCAUCGGCGGCU
This 73-nucleotide transfer RNA is filed under the name Chloroflexota bacterium. RNAcentral's name for it is "tRNA-Thr". It matches the Rfam family "tRNA". From Rfam's summary of the family: Transfer RNA (tRNA) molecules are approximately 80 nucleotides in length. The record is from RNAcentral. Lineage: Bacteria; Bacillati; Chloroflexota.